This 458-nucleotide long non-coding RNA is filed under the name Coffea arabica (coffee). Its description in RNAcentral is "long non-coding RNA (CARA_LNC000582)". The record is from RNAcentral. Lineage: Eukaryota; Viridiplantae; Streptophyta; Magnoliopsida; Gentianales; Rubiaceae.
AUGAUUCCAUGACAUGAAACAAUGAGAGAAAAACCACAACGCAAGUCUCUCCAUAACUCCACUUGCCUAAUCCGAAACUCCAACCAAAUUAGCGAAGUAACUCCACACCGCCAAUGCUAUUGGCCCUACAAUAAAAUGGUGAUUACUGGUUUCCACUGAGCUCUCACAGCAACAACAUCUGGAUGCUAACAUCAGCCCCUUCUGCUAUAGGUGAACAUCCAAUGGAAGCCAUCAUCUCAGUAACCUCUAUGCAAAAAAAAAGAUUUUUAGUGGAACCACCGGACUUCAUAUGAAAGAGUCAACCACCGACAAAUUCCUUUUCAACCGAACCUACUCCCAAGCUGUGGAAACUGAAAACUCCCCCAUGGAAGAAGCCAUCCAUGCCAACUGGUCCUUACGACCCGGAAAGAUAUGCAGCUUUAGUAUUUGAGACACAAAGAAUUUCUAAAGUAAUUGAU